RNAcentral lists this long non-coding RNA (915 nucleotides) under Mustela putorius furo (domestic ferret). RNAcentral describes it as "lncRNA (ENSMPUG00000026337.1)". Lineage: Eukaryota; Metazoa; Chordata; Mammalia; Carnivora; Mustelidae. The record is from RNAcentral.
AUGGUACACUUGUAACUGUCUUUAUACUUAUAACUGCCUCUUUUAAUCUAGUAACAGCUUAAGUUUUGAUCGUUUACAAAAACUGCCCUUUUAUUUUUGACUGUCACAAUUUACCUCUUCCUAUUUGUGUAUCUGUUAACAAAUUACUGCAACCAUAGUUACUUUUAACAGGGUGCCAAGGCAUCGAGGUCACCCAGGAAGUCAGGCUACUCACUCUUGGUGCAUCAUGGGGAAGCUGGUGACCAUGAAGUAGAGAGCUGACCAUUUUCAAAGCCAUUCCUGUGCUCCUGGACACUUGGGUUGCAUCUACUUCUUUGCUUCUGCAAACAGCACCUCGGUGAACCUCCUGGAUGGCCUCCUCAUGCCUACCUGCAUGGCGGGAUUCUGGAGGCCUGGCAGAAGCUACACCUGGAUUCCCACUGCUGAACCCAUGUAACUGGCAUUUGGACUUUUCUACCCAGUUACCCCCUUACGGUGAGUGAAGCACUUGGGGGUCAUUCCUCCUCAACCUUGCGAACUUGGCAAGGUCCCUGAUCUAGCACACCUUCUAUUUUUUUUUUUUUUGAUCUGUGGAAAGAUAACCAUGACAAAAUACAUACCCUGAGAUGGUUUCAGUGGGGAGCGUUAAAUUAGAUACAAAUUAGAAACUCUCAUCGUAGUAUCUGGAACAUGUUCACAGUCUAUGAAUAAGAGCCAAAAUUUCUUAGUGUCCGAACUUUCUCAUGGGAAGGUGUGAAGCUUACCCUGCAGUAUAGGGAAAGUGGAAUUCUCUGGGCCUGGCUCCAGCCUUUGUCCUGCCACUUCUGACACACCGGGAACUCAUUUCCCUUUCUGAGACCGUUUUGUUCCAGUUUGGCUGGGUGGAGAAACGAGGGGGAAGGUUGGGGGCUUUGAAGGCCCAAGGAAAUAAUAAAG